GAGGGUGUAGCUCAAGUGGUAGAGCACAUGCUUAGCAUGCAGGAGGUUCUGGGUUCAAUCCCUAGUACCUCCU
RNAcentral lists this transfer RNA (73 nucleotides) under Camelus bactrianus (Bactrian camel). It matches the Rfam family "tRNA". From Rfam's summary of the family: Transfer RNA (tRNA) molecules are approximately 80 nucleotides in length. The record is from Rfam by way of RNAcentral. Lineage: Eukaryota; Metazoa; Chordata; Mammalia; Artiodactyla; Camelidae. RNAcentral also lists the same sequence under 2 other names.